RNAcentral lists this small RNA (36 nucleotides) under Bombyx mori (domestic silkworm). RNAcentral's name for it is "ovarian small RNA-24244". Lineage: Eukaryota; Metazoa; Arthropoda; Insecta; Lepidoptera; Bombycidae. The record is from RNAcentral.
UAUUGCUUAGAAGGUUGGAUGAGCUCACAGCCCACC